This 163-nucleotide ribosomal RNA is filed under the name Goodyera x tamnaensis. RNAcentral's name for it is "5.8S ribosomal RNA". It matches the Rfam family "5.8S ribosomal RNA". Rfam says of the family: 5.8S ribosomal RNA (5.8S rRNA) is a component of the large subunit of the eukaryotic ribosome. It is transcribed by RNA polymerase I as part of the 45S precursor that also contains 18S and 28S rRNA. The record is from RNAcentral. Lineage: Eukaryota; Viridiplantae; Streptophyta; Magnoliopsida; Asparagales; Orchidaceae.
GUAUGACUCUCGGCAAUGGAUUUCUUGGCUCUUGCAUCGAUGAAGAGCGCAGCGAAAUGCGAUACGUGGUGUGAAUUGCAGAAUCCCGUGAACCAUCGAGUUUUUGAACGCAAGUUGCGCCCGAGGCCAAUUGGCUAAGGGCACGUCCGCCUGGGCGUCAAGC